AGAUUGAACGCUGGCGGCAGGCCUAACACAUGCAAGUCGAGCGGUAGAGAGGUGCUUGCACCUCUUGAGAGCGGCGGACGGGUGAGUAAUGCCUAGGAAUCUGCCUAGUGGUGGGGGAUAACGUUCGGAAACGGACGCUAAUACCGCAUACGUCCUACGGGAGAAAGCGGGGGACCUUCGGGCCUCGCGCCAUUAGAUGAGCCUAGGUCGAUUAGCUAGUGGUGAGGUAAUGGCUCACCAAGGCGACGACUCCGUAAACUGGUCUGAGAGGAUGAUCAGUCACACUGGGACUGAGACACGGUCCAGACUCCGUACGGGAGGCAGCAGUGGGGAAUAGUUGGAACAAUGGGACGAAACGCCGUGAUCCAAGCCAAUCGGCCGCGGUGUAGGUACGAAAGGUAAGGUU
This 406-nucleotide ribosomal RNA is filed under the name uncultured soil bacterium. Its description in RNAcentral is "bacterial SSU rRNA". It matches the Rfam family "Bacterial small subunit ribosomal RNA", at positions 26 to 424 of the family's 1533-position model. The record is from RNAcentral.